GUAGCUUUUACUUUUAUCAAAUUUCUCAACUUCUCCGCACGAUUGUUUUGCAAGAGGGCUCAAAUUUAAAAUUGAACCCACUUUUCUCAAGGUCCUCGCGCGGAGUGCUCGCGCCAAAUCUCGAAGCAGGAGAGACUGUGAGGGCUUCAAAUCGCAUUCAUUUAUUGCUUCCGUAGUGUUGAAACGGACGGAUACACACAGGAUCAGUCAGUUCUGACGGCGAACAUCGACCGAGAAAAUUCAAGCUCCGAGCAAUGUCUGCUGAAAUAAACGGUAAGAAGUGAUAGCUCAGCGAUAACAGACGGUGAAUUGUAAUUUAGCAGUAAUGCUAUCUUCCCAGAAGCUGAUAUUUUCGAUGACAGCAUCUCGCUUGUUAAUAUGCUGCUUGUCGCAAACUAAGCGUCGAAGUGAAACCAAUUUUUCAUUCCCGGUUGACCUACCAAUGUAAGACUUGUCAUUUGAAAGUUCGCCGAUAGCUUUGAAAGCUUUCUGAUUUGAUCUCGGAACGCGCAAUAAUCUCUUUGAAAGGACACGUUUGAGGCACCAGAACUUUAUGGAUAUUUUCACGAGUUUUUCUGCUCCCAGUCCUAAAACCACAUCAUAAUAAGUAACAAGAUGGCGACACACGGCCUUUUUGAUUAAGCUGUGACUGAGGAUUAAUUAAACAUGCAUGGAAGUUUAAUAUUGUAUACAUUUUCAAUGACAACUAACUCCUGCGAUUGGCUUGAGGGUUGCUCCUGUGUGGAAUUUUCAGUCAAAUAAUUGCAUUUAGAACGCUUUCUCUCGCAAAGAAAAGCCAUUUAUGGGCGUAAAAGUGCACGUUUUUGCGUGGCUUUCAAUCUUAUGUGUUUGCUUUUCAAGUAAUCUAUUUCUCUGACACUUCGCAGUCUGAAUGGACGGGAAUUUAUUAAAAAACGCUGCGAGAAGACGUUUGCAAUCAUUUGAGCUAUUCUAGUGUAUCAGCAAGACGCAUUUUAAUUCUUUUUUUCUCCUAUCAAACUUGUGUGAUUAAUAACACCGCUUUUAACAGCACGAAAUUGAAAUUAUCAACCAGCAGAUAUUAAAAAUGUUAGAUUAUGGCGGCGGGGCGCUCCAAGCAAUUGUGUACUUAAAUAACAAUGUUACGUUGAUUAAAAAUGUGUCGCUGCGUAAAAGAGAAGGUAAUAUUAUAUUCAUUGCUAAUGGAGGGACUAAGAAAAAUAUUUGCCAAGUUUUCAGUAUGGUGAAUUACUUGUAUAUCGACUACAAAGGAAACAUCCAGAACUCAAACAAAACAAGGAAAAUAGCAAGAUAAAACAACCAUGCAAUAAAUCCCGUAUCGACUUUUGGUCGGGGCUCUACGAGCGAUAUAAACUCUGCCUUUGCACACUGUUGAGAAGCUGGCGAUCAUUAAUUAAACUUUCGGCUAAGGUUUUAAAAGCAAUGCUUUUACGGCUUAAAAGGGACUUAUAUUUGUUUUCACAGUUGUCGAAAGUUAAGUGCUGUAUUUCAGAUUAAAACACGUUGUUUUCAGAGCUAGUAUAGUUUGCAUUAAUGUGCACUUAGCCUAAAAGCAAAUCUACAGCGAUCUUUAUCUCGAAAUGGUUCUUUUUCAAAUGUGCUUUCAAACCUGCAAUUCAGCUUUAUUUCCGGGCCUUCCGUGUACUAGAUCUGUUCCGAUUUUCUCCCAACUAUAUUCGAUACAUUUCCUGUCAGGUAGGUGCUGAGAAUAAAACCAAUAAUCAACUAAGAUAUGUUGCGUUGACCUCGUCACUCAGGGAACUAGUAGUAAAAAAAAAAAAUUAAGAUAGUCACCACGAAGGUACCUUGUGCUAUGGGAUAAGCGCGCCUUUUUUAUGCGAUAAGAAACUUUAAUGCAAAAGAGAAAAAGCUUCCGUAUUUUUAGUCAGGUUUAAGUCGCGAACCUCGCCAAGGAAAUAUUAAAAGAAAUCCGCCCCUUUUAUCGUAUCCUGUUUCGAGAGAAGUGUUUAGUUGCAAAAAGUGCUGAUUAAUCCCAAUUCGUUGGUGACUGUCAAAAGCCCGGCUAUAUUUUCUUUAUCGCAGGAAGCUUUUUAUUAACAGACUGUGACGGCCAAACGCCGUUAACUAAUAGUAAGUGAGAGGGUUGGCAACACGCUGUGCUAAAAGGGUAUUAAGACAAUAUUCCAUCCAGUGAAAAAACAAAGUUAUUUGAUUAGUUUUCGAUAUCUGUUUUAUACGCCCACUUUGGGUUUCCUCGAGUUAGGUCCCGUGAAAGCUACCGGCUUUUAAGGUCGCCAACAAGGUGUACGAAAUUAUUUAUUACCACUGAUUUACAAGUUAACGGUGGAGCGGCCAAGCGUUGAACAUGCUUGUACGAAUCCACCGAUGUCAAGGCAACGAUGAAUUACAACACAGCGUAGGUGUACAAACACGCUAGCAAGCGAGUUUCGUUUUGCUUUCACGGAAUCUCUGUGGAGAAAACAAACACCUCUUAUCUAGUGAUAAAAUAUUGUGAUUGAAAGGAAAGUACAGUGAUGGCGAAGUACUGGAAUGGAACUUUCAGUUUCUCUUGGUUAAGACACCUCAGUUUACGAUAAAAGGUUUACUGCAAGGGGCUUUGACGGGUGAUACUAAAAGCCAUAAGAAGUUUCAGCGGUUUAAUUAAUAUCUACUAGUUAAACAGAAAGCAUGACCCACGCAUAGGAUGUGCUGAGACACUCAUGCACGAAAUGGUUACGUAAAUAUUGGGUCAAUAAAUAUGCUAUGUUUAAUAUCGAAA
This 2740-nucleotide long non-coding RNA is filed under the name Orbicella faveolata. RNAcentral's name for it is "uncharacterized LOC110053820". The record is from RNAcentral. Lineage: Eukaryota; Metazoa; Cnidaria; Anthozoa; Scleractinia; Merulinidae.